Molecule: ribosomal RNA, 497 nt
Filed under: uncultured bacterium
Lineage: Bacteria
Description: partial 16S ribosomal RNA
Rfam family: Bacterial small subunit ribosomal RNA
Source: RNAcentral
GCUGAACGCUCUCGGCGUGCCUAAUACAUGUAAGUCUAUUGAACGUACUAGACGCUUGCUUCUCUGUUGUUAGCGGCGCAAGGGUGAUUAACACGUGGCUAACCUACCUAUAAGACUGCGAUAACUUCGGGAAACCGGCGCUAAUACCUGAUCAUAUUUUGAACCGCAUGGUUCUAGAAUGAAAGACGGUCUUGCUGUCACUUAUAGAUGGACCCGCGCUGCAUUAACUAGUUGGUAACGUAAAGGCUUACCAAGGCAAUGAUGCAUAGCCGACCGAAGAGGGGAACAGGGCACACGCGAAGUAGGCAACGGUCCGGACUACUACGGGAGGCAACAGUAAGGAAUCUGCAGCAAUGGGCGAAAGCCUGACGGAGCAACGCCGCAUGAGUGAUGAAGGUCUUCGGAUCGUAAAACUCUGUUAUUAGGGAAGAACAUAUGUGUAAGUAACUGUGCACAUCUUGACGGUACCUAAUCAGAAAGCCACGGAUAACUACGUG